AGUGAACGCUGGCGGUAGGCCUAACACAUGCAAGUCGAACGGCAGCACAGUAAGAGCUUGCUCUUACGGGUGGCGAGUGGCGGACGGGUGAGGCAUACAUCGGAAUCUACUUUUUCGUGGGGGAUAACGUAGGGAAACUUACGCUAAUACCGCAUACGACCUACGGGUGAAAGCAGAGGAUCUUCGCACCUUGCGCGACUCAAUGAGCCCAUGUCGGAUUAGCUAGUUGGGGGGGUAAAGGCACACCAAGGCCACGAUCCGUAGCUGGGCUGAGAGGAUGGACCGCCCACACGGAAACUGGGACAGGGCCCGAAUCCCAACGGAGGGAGGAGGUGGGAAUUUUUGGCCAUGGGCGAAAGCCCGAAGCAGGCCAUCCGGGGGGGUGAAGAAGGCCUUCGGGUUGUAAAGCCCUUUUGUUGGGAAAGAAAAGCAGCAGGUUAAUACCCCGCUGUUCUGACGGUACCCAAAGAGUAAGCACCGGCUAACUUCGUG
Molecule: ribosomal RNA, 492 nt
Filed under: uncultured bacterium
Lineage: Bacteria
Description: partial 16S ribosomal RNA
Rfam family: Bacterial small subunit ribosomal RNA
Source: RNAcentral